CGCGGGGCAACCUGGCGGCGAGCGGCGAACGGGUGAGUAAUGCAUCGGAACGUGUCCAUGUCGUGGGGGAUAGCCCGGCGAAAGCCGGAUUAAUACCGCAUACGCCCGAGAGGGGAAAGUGGGGGACCGCAAGGCCUCACGCGAUUGGUUCGGCCGAUGUCCGAUUAGCUAGUUGGCGGGGUAAAGGCCCACCAAGGCGACGAUCGGUAGCUGGUCUGAGAGGAUGAUCAGCCACACUGGGACUGAGACACGGCCCAGACUCCUACGGGAGGCAGCAGUGGGGAAUUUUGGACAAUGGGGGCAACCCUGAUCCAGCCAUUCCGCGUGAGUGAAGAAGGCCUUCGGGUUGUAAAGCUCUUUUGUCCGGAACGAAACGGUGGACGUGAAUAUCGUCCACUACUGACGGUACCGGAAGAAUAAGCACCGGCUAACUACGUGCCAGCAGCCGCGGUAAUACGUAGGGUGCGAGCGUUAAUCGGAAUUACUGGGCGUAAAGCGUGCGCAGGCGGUUUUGUAAGCCAGAUGUGAAAUCCCCGGGCUUAACCUGGGAAUGGCAUUUGGGACUGCAAGGCUCGAGUGCGGCAGAGGAGACUGGAAUUCCUGGUGUAGCAGUGAAAUGCGUAGAUAUCAGGAGGAACACCGAUGGCGAAGGCAGGUCUCUGGGCUG
Molecule: ribosomal RNA, 667 nt
Filed under: uncultured beta proteobacterium
Lineage: Bacteria; Pseudomonadati; Pseudomonadota; Betaproteobacteria
Description: bacterial SSU rRNA
Rfam family: Bacterial small subunit ribosomal RNA
Source: RNAcentral